This 76-nucleotide transfer RNA is filed under the name Nitrospirales bacterium. Its description in RNAcentral is "tRNA-Thr". It matches the Rfam family "tRNA". From Rfam's summary of the family: Transfer RNA (tRNA) molecules are approximately 80 nucleotides in length. Their secondary structure includes four short double-helical elements and three loops (D, anti-codon, and T loops). Further hydrogen bonds mediate the characteristic L-shaped molecular structure. tRNAs have two regions of fundamental functional importance: the anti-codon, which is responsible for specific mRNA codon recognition, and the 3' end, to which the tRNAs corresponding amino acid is attached (by aminoacyl-tRNA synthetases). tRNAs cope with the degeneracy of the genetic code in two manners: having more than one tRNA (with a specific anti-codon) for a particular amino acid; and 'wobble' base-pairing, i.e. permitting non-standard base-pairing at the 3rd anti-codon position. RNAcentral also lists the same sequence under 1 other name. The record is from RNAcentral. Lineage: Bacteria; Pseudomonadati; Nitrospirota; Nitrospiria; Nitrospirales.
GCUGGCGUAGCUCAGUCGGUAGAGCAGCGGUUUUGUAAACCGCCGGUCGGAGGUUCGAUUCCUCUCGCCAGCUCCA